GCGGGGUGGAGCAGUUCGGUAGCUCGCCGGGCUCAUAACCCGGAGGUCGCAGGUUCAA
Molecule: transfer RNA, 58 nt
Filed under: Georgenia sp. 311
Lineage: Bacteria; Bacillati; Actinomycetota; Actinomycetes; Allobogoriellales; Allobogoriellaceae
Description: tRNA-Met
Rfam family: tRNA
About the family: Transfer RNA (tRNA) molecules are approximately 80 nucleotides in length.
Source: RNAcentral